GACCUGAAAGAUGGUGAACUAUGGCUGGGCAGGGCGAAGCUAGAGGAAACUCUGCUGGAGGCCCGCAGCGGUCCUGACGUGCAAAUCGGUUGUCAGACCUGGGUAUGGGGCGAAACCAUCUAACCAUCUAGUAGCUGG
This 138-nucleotide non-coding RNA is filed under the name Oryzias latipes (Japanese medaka). Its description in RNAcentral is "Eukaryotic large subunit ribosomal RNA". It matches the Rfam family "Eukaryotic large subunit ribosomal RNA", at positions 813 to 954 of the family's 3401-position model. Lineage: Eukaryota; Metazoa; Chordata; Actinopteri; Beloniformes; Adrianichthyidae. The record is from Rfam by way of RNAcentral.